This 327-nucleotide unclassified non-coding RNA is filed under the name soil metagenome. RNAcentral describes it as "partial contains 5.8S ribosomal RNA, internal transcribed spacer 2, and large subunit ribosomal RNA". The stretch from base 1 to 120 matches the Rfam family "5.8S ribosomal RNA", at positions 35 to 154 of the family's 154-position model. The record is from RNAcentral.
GAUGAAGAACGCAGCGAAAUGCGAUAAGUAAUGUGAAUUGCAGAAUUCAGUGAAUCAUCGAAUCUUUGAACGCACAUUGCGCCCCUUGGUAUUCCGGGGGGCAUGCCUGUUCGAGCGUCAUUAUAACCCCUCAAGCUCAGCUUGGUGUUGGGGCCUGCCAACUGGCAGCCCUUAAAAUCAGUGGCGGCGCCAUCUGGCUCUAAGCGUAGUAAUUUCUCUCGCUAUAGGGUCCCGGUGGAUGCUGGCCAACAACCCCCAAUUUUCUAUGGUAGACCUCGGAUCAGGUAGGGAUACCCGCUGAACUUAAGCAUAUCAAUAAGCGGAGGA